CCUACGGGUGGCAGCAGUGGGGAAUAUUGGGCAAUGGGCGCAAGCCUGACCCAGCAACGCCGCGUGAAGGAAGAAGGCUUUCGGGUUGUAAACUUCUUUUAAGCGGGAAGAGCAGAAGACGGUACCUCUUGAAUAAGCCACGACUAAAUACGUGCGAGAAGACGCGCUAAUACGUAGGUGGCAAGCGUUGUCCGGGUUUACUGGGUGUAAAGGGCGUGCAGCCGGGAAGAAAAGGCAAAUGUGAAAUCCCGGGGCUCAACCGCGGAAGUGCAGUUGAAACUGUUUUUCUUGAGUACGGGAGAGGUCAGCGGAAUUCCUGGUGUAGCGGUGAAAUGCGUAGAUAUAAGGAAGAACACC
This 357-nucleotide ribosomal RNA is filed under the name uncultured bacterium. RNAcentral's name for it is "partial 16S ribosomal RNA". It matches the Rfam family "Bacterial small subunit ribosomal RNA", at positions 338 to 710 of the family's 1533-position model. The record is from RNAcentral.